RNAcentral lists this long non-coding RNA (859 nucleotides) under Salmo trutta (river trout). RNAcentral's name for it is "lncRNA (ENSSTUG00000027708.1)". Lineage: Eukaryota; Metazoa; Chordata; Actinopteri; Salmoniformes; Salmonidae. The record is from RNAcentral.
CGGCUUUCUGUUCAACUGCGUGUUUCUGGCGCCACCUGCUGGCUGUUCAGGAGACGACGCGCUGGGAUCCGACAUUGCCGCUUGUGUAACUGUCAUUGGAUGGGAUUUUGAAUGUUAAUGCCUGACUGGGUACAUACACUGUCCAUCAAAUGAAACCGGAAGAAAGGUUACAUAUCAAAACAAUGUGUAAGGAAGUAUAGUGGUGUGUCCUUACCGAGCUGUUACGCCAUGCCAACUUCCCCGGUAAAGACUCGGAUCCCGCUCACGAGCUUCGGUCAUCUGAUCACCGAGGUGAAGAGACAGUUGUUUGGUAUGGAGGCUCCAGCUACUGUUAACCUGACUGGCUGGAGGAGACAUUUCAACAGCUACACACUACAGGGCCGACGCAACGUAAGAUAUAUACACACACACACUCACACUCACACACACACACACACACUAGCUGCUGCUGCCAUAGCUCUAGAAGAGUAUUAUACUGUUGACAUAACCUCUCUCUUUCUCUCUUUUUCUCUCUCUCUAGUUUGUCCUGGCUACCUAUGGUGUCCUAGCGUUGUCAGCAGCAGCCUAUAUGAUACACAAACGGAGUAAAGAGGACCCCAGAGUAGCCAGCCCCACUGCCUGACUGACACCCUCUCUCAAUGUCCAACGUUUUAUUGACCUGAUAUUCACAUUGUUUUCCAAUACUACCAAAUCAGAGAUUCAUAACAGCAGCGCUCUCCCUCUCUUCCACUCUCACUCUCUCCCUCCCUCUCUCCCUCCCUCUCUUCCGCUCCCUCCCUCCCUCUCGCUCUCUCUCUCAAUGUUAAUAAAUAGAAUUUAAUCCAGUCACGAUGUCUCUGUGUCGUCUUGGUUUAAUCUC